RNAcentral lists this ribosomal RNA (882 nucleotides) under uncultured Halomonas sp. RNAcentral's name for it is "bacterial SSU rRNA". It matches the Rfam family "Bacterial small subunit ribosomal RNA", at positions 12 to 884 of the family's 1533-position model. Lineage: Bacteria; Pseudomonadati; Pseudomonadota; Gammaproteobacteria; Oceanospirillales; Halomonadaceae. The record is from RNAcentral.
UUUGAUCCUGGCUCAGAUUGAACGCUGGCGGCAGGCCUAACACAUGCAAGUCGAGCGGCAGCACGGGAAGCUUGCUUCCUGGUGGCGAGCGGCGGACGGGUGAGUAAUGCAUAGGAAUCUGCCCGGUAGUGGGGGAUAACCUGGGGAAACCCAGGCUAAUACCGCAUACGCCCUACGGGGGAAAGCAGGGGCUCUUCGGACCUUGCGCUAUCGGAUGAGCCUAUGUCGGAUUAGCUGGUUGGUGAGGUAAUGGCUCACCAAGGCGACGAUCUGUAGCUGGUCUGAGAGGAUGAUCAGCCACAUCGGGACUGAGACACGGCCCGAACUCCUACGGGAGGCAGCAGUGGGGAAUAUUGGACAAUGGGCGCAAGCCUGAUCCAGCCAUGCCGCGUGUGUGAAGAAGGCCCUCGGGUUGUAAAGCACUUUCAGUGGGGAAGAACGCCUUCCGGCUAAUACCCGGGAGGAAAGACAUCACCCACAGAAGAAGCACCGGCUAACUCCGUGCCAGCAGCCGCGGUAAUACGGAGGGUGCGAGCGUUAAUCGGAAUUACUGGGCGUAAAGCGCGCGUAGGUGGCUUGAUAAGCCGGUUGUGAAAGCCCCGGGCUCAACCUGGGAACGGCAUCCGGAACUGUCAGGCUAGAGUGCAGGAGAGGAAGGUAGAAUUCCCGGUGUAGCGGUGAAAUGCGUAGAGAUCGGGAGGAAUACCAGUGGCGAAGGCGGCCCUCUGGACUGACACUGACACUGAGGUGCGAAAGCGUGGGUAGCAAACAGGAUUAGAUACCCUGGUAGUCCACGCCGUAAACGAUGUCGACUAGCCGUUGGGUCCUUCGCGGACUUUGUGGCGCAGUUAACGCGAUAAGUCGACCGCCUGGGGGAGUACG